Molecule: ribosomal RNA, 497 nt
Filed under: uncultured bacterium
Lineage: Bacteria
Description: partial 16S ribosomal RNA
Rfam family: Bacterial small subunit ribosomal RNA
Source: RNAcentral
GACGAACGCUGGCGGCGUGCCUAAUACAUGCAAGUUGAGCGCUGAAGGUUGGUACUUGUACCGACUGGAUGAGCAGCGAACGGGUGAGUAACGCGUGGGGAAUCUGCCUUUGAGCGGGGGACAACAUUGGGAAACGAAUGCUAAUACCGCAUAAAAACUUUAAACACAAGUUUUAAGUUUGAAAGAUGCAAUUGCAUCACUCAAAGAUGAUCCCGCGUUGUAUUAGCUAGUUGGUGAGGUAAAGGCUCACCAAGGCGAUGAUACAUAGCCGACCUGAGAGGGUGAUCGGCCACAUUGGGACUGAGACACGGCCCAAACUCCUACGGGAGGCAGCAGUAGGGAAUCUUCGGCCAUGGACGGAAGUCUGACCGAGCAACGCCGCGUGAGUGAAGAAGGUUUUCGGAUCGUAAAACUCUGUUGGUAGAGAAGAACGUUGGUGAGAGUGGAAAGCUCAUCAAGUGACGGUAACUACCCAGAAAGGGACGGCUAACUACGUG